This 468-nucleotide ribosomal RNA is filed under the name uncultured bacterium. RNAcentral describes it as "partial 16S ribosomal RNA". It matches the Rfam family "Bacterial small subunit ribosomal RNA", at positions 28 to 507 of the family's 1533-position model. The record is from RNAcentral.
GACGAACGCUGGCGGCGUGCUUAACACAUGCAAGUCGAACGGAAAGGCCCUGCUUUUGUGGGGUGCUCGAGUGGCGAACGGGUGAGUAACACGUGAGUAACCUGCCCUUGACUUUGGGAUAACUUCAGGAAACUGGGGCUAAUACCGGAUAGGAGCUCCUGCUGCAUGGUGGGGGUUGGAAAGUUUCGGCGGUUGGGGAUGGACUCGCGGCUUAUCAGCUUGUUGGUGGGGUAGUGGCUUACCAAGGCUUUGACGGGUAGCCGGCCUGAGAGGGUGACCGGCCACAUUGGGACUGAGAUACGGCCCAGACUCCUACGGGAGGCAGCAGUGGGGAAUAUUGCAGAAUGGGCGGAAGCCUGAUGCAGCAACGCCGCGUGCGGGAUGACGGCCUUCGGGUUAUAAACCGCUUUCGCCUGUAACGAAGAGUGAGUGACGGUAAUGGGUAAAGAAGCACCGGCUAACUACGUG